AGUGAACGCUGGCGGUAGGCCUAACACAUGCAAGUCGAACGGCAGCACAGUAAGAGCUUGCUCUUACGGGUGGCGAGUGGCGGACGGGUGAGGAAUACAUCGGAAUCUACUUUUUCGUGGGGGAUAACGUAGGGAAACUUACGCUAAUACCGCAUACGACCUACGGGUGAAAGCAGGGGAUCUUCGGACCUUGCGCGAUUGAAUGAGCCGAUGUCGGAUUAGCUAGUUGGCGGGGUAAAGGCCCACCAAGGCGACGAUCCGUAGCUGGUCUGAGAGGAUGAUCAGCCACACUGGAACUGAGACACGGUCCAGACUCCUACGGGAGGCAGCAGUGGGGAAUAUUGGACAAUGGGCGCAAGCCUGAUCCAGCCAUACCGCGUGGGUGAAGAAGGCCUUCGGGUUUUAAAGCCCUUUUGUUGGGAAAGAAAAGCAGCAGGUUAAUACCCCGCUGUUCUGACGGUACCCAAAGAAUAAGCACCGGCCAACUUCGUG
RNAcentral lists this ribosomal RNA (492 nucleotides) under uncultured bacterium. RNAcentral describes it as "partial 16S ribosomal RNA". It matches the Rfam family "Bacterial small subunit ribosomal RNA", at positions 29 to 507 of the family's 1533-position model. The record is from RNAcentral.